Molecule: ribosomal RNA, 312 nt
Filed under: Triticum aestivum (bread wheat)
Lineage: Eukaryota; Viridiplantae; Streptophyta; Magnoliopsida; Poales; Poaceae
Description: partial small subunit ribosomal RNA
Source: RNAcentral
AUGCCCCUCUCCUUGCACAAGAUCAAGCAUGGUAUGCUGCUUCCGGUUAUCCACAAAGUUGAUCGUUGCCCCUCUGGUUGGCUGGCCACGUUUCUCUCUUGGGGUGGCAGACUCACUCUCAUUAACUCCGUUCUGGCUGGCAUACCGAGCUACUUCAUGGCUUGUUUUCAAUGGCCAAAAGAGUCUUUGCAUAAGUUGGACGCCCUGCUUAGGGCUUUCUUCUGGAAGGGCAAGAAUACAGUUAAAGGAGGACACUACCUGACGGCCUGGGAUAUGGUUACACUGCCUCGGGUAAACGGUGGCUUGGGGUAA